Beta vulgaris subsp. vulgaris (sugar beet) is the source of this 640-nucleotide long non-coding RNA. RefSeq lists it as uncharacterized. The transcript is spliced from 2 exons. Lineage: Eukaryota; Viridiplantae; Streptophyta; Magnoliopsida; Caryophyllales; Amaranthaceae. The record is from RefSeq and is a predicted model, not a curated record.
UUACAUUGGUCAGGAGUGCUCAUUGACUUAUUCUCUAUUAUCUCAAUCCACUUCACACCACAAUUAAAUUGGAAGUUGAAUAUUUGAAUUGGAGAUAAAAUCUAGAGCACAAAAUAACCAUUAAAAUUAAUUUCACAUCAUACAUUAAACAACUUAAGCAACUAUGGCAAUAAGCACAAUAUAAGCAACCUGAGCAAACGUGAUACCAGAAUGAAAAGUUAAAUUCAAACAACCUGAAACGGGAAAGCACAAUUCAAGCAAGAAUUUCACAAGGAAAGAGGAACCACUAAUGUAAAUAGAGAAUAAUGAUUGAUAAUUAGAUUCACCAAAUAGCCCAUCCCUAUACACUUCUAUUGACAAAUAACCAAUUGCUUUUCUUCUGCAGAUCCAAAAUGCUACCAUUGCAUCUCCUUGUUGGCUCUCAUCUGGUGCUAACAAGUUGAUUAAACGAAUUCUUGAUCCUAAUCCACUUAAUGAAACUCUUGUUACCGAACAAUAGGAGAAGCCUGCCACAAUGAAUGCCUUUGAGCUUAUUUCUGGAUCACAAGGUUUAAUUCUUGAUAGCCUUUUUCAAAUAGAAGCUGUAUGUUUUUCUUCCUAAUCUGCAGAGUUUUGUCUUCUAAUCCUACUGAAUAUGAAG